GCCCUCCUGGUUUCUUAUCCAUCAGAUCUACACACUGGUUUGUGUGGUUAUAAAAGGAGGAAAAGUAAAAUUGAAACUUGCGUAAAAUUUUUUGUGACAUACAGCUAAUCUCAAUAAUAA
This 120-nucleotide small nucleolar RNA is filed under the name Echinops telfairi (small Madagascar hedgehog). Its description in RNAcentral is "Small nucleolar RNA SNORA61 (ENSETEG00000024420.1)". Lineage: Eukaryota; Metazoa; Chordata; Mammalia; Afrosoricida; Tenrecidae. The record is from RNAcentral.